AUUUUAAUAGUUUAUUAAAAAUAUUGAUUUGUGGAAUCAAAGAAAUUAAGAAUAAUUUAAAAUU
RNAcentral lists this transfer RNA (64 nucleotides) under Curculionoidea sp. 10 KM-2017. RNAcentral describes it as "tRNA-His". The record is from RNAcentral. Lineage: Eukaryota; Metazoa; Arthropoda; Insecta; Coleoptera.